This 580-nucleotide long non-coding RNA is filed under the name Cavia porcellus (domestic guinea pig). Its description in RNAcentral is "lncRNA (ENSCPOG00000034744.1)". Lineage: Eukaryota; Metazoa; Chordata; Mammalia; Rodentia; Caviidae. The record is from RNAcentral.
UUUUGCUACAAUUUAAGAAAUCUCCGUUCUGUACAGGACAGCUGGAACCACUGGAGAAAGGUCCUCAUACUGGAAGCUAGAAGCACAGAAAGUAGUGUGAAAAGAAGUUUGAUAUUCCUUGAAAGCUGUGGAAACAAGUGUGGAUGUAACAGAGUUGUUAUAUCCUGCACAGUAGCACAGUUUAAAGAACAAAGAGAGAGUAGUCAUGGAUAAGGGUUUAGGAUAUGGGAAUGUAAAUCUGCACCACAGAGAAAAGAAAUUCAGCUCACAGAAUGACCGUGUCGUAGCACCUAUCUUUGCCUUUGGAGAGACUGGCUGCAUAGAGAACUGAAGUCCAUCAUUGCCUGUGAAUCACCCCACCUUUCUCUUCAGCCAGUCUAGUCUAUUAAUGGGCUACUGACAACACAAGUGAGAGAAUCACAAUGCUCUACAAUAAAACGAGCAAUCAGCAUUUGGAUUCUAAAAUGCCUAAAUUUUAUGUUUAUUAAGCUACAAUGCCCAGGAACAAAGACAGUUCACUAGAGGAUUCAUUCAUUCAUUCAUUAAUUCAUUCAUUCAGUAAAUACAUAUUGAACACCCA